RNAcentral lists this ribosomal RNA (492 nucleotides) under uncultured bacterium. RNAcentral's name for it is "partial 16S ribosomal RNA". It matches the Rfam family "Bacterial small subunit ribosomal RNA", at positions 29 to 507 of the family's 1533-position model. The record is from RNAcentral.
AGUGAACGCUGGCGGUAGGCUUAACACAUGCAAGUCGAACGGCAGCACAGUAAGAGCUUGCUCUUACGGGUGGCGAGUGGCGGACGGGUGAGGAAUACAUCGGAAUCUACUUUUUCGUGGGGGAUAACGUAGGGAAACUCACGCUAAUACCGCACUCGACAUACGGGUGAAAGCAGGGGAUCUUCGGACCUUGCGCGAUUGAAUGAGUCGAUGUCGGAUUAGCUAGUUGGCGGGGUAAAGGCCCACCAAGGCGACGAUCCGUAGCUGGUCUGAGAGGAUGAGCAGCCACACUGGAACUGAGAGACGGUCCAGACACCUACGGGAGGCAGCAGUGGGGAGUAUUGGACGAAGGGCGCGAGCCUGAUCCAGCCAUACCGCGUGGGUGAAGGAGGCCUUCGGGUUGUAAAGCCCUUUUGUUGGGAGGGAAAAACAGCAGGUUAAUACCCCGCUGUUCUGACGGUACCCAAAGAAUGAGCACCGGCUAACUUCGUG